This 76-nucleotide transfer RNA is filed under the name Escherichia coli. Its description in RNAcentral is "tRNA-Val". The stretch from base 4 to 69 matches the Rfam family "tRNA". Rfam says of the family: Transfer RNA (tRNA) molecules are approximately 80 nucleotides in length. The record is from RNAcentral. Lineage: Bacteria; Pseudomonadati; Pseudomonadota; Gammaproteobacteria; Enterobacterales; Enterobacteriaceae.
CANUGAUUAGCUCAGCUGGGAGAGCACCUCCCUUACAAGGAGGGGGUCGGCGGUUCGAUCCCGUCAUCACCCACCA